Long non-coding RNA from Phascolarctos cinereus (koala), 779 nucleotides. RefSeq lists it as uncharacterized. Lineage: Eukaryota; Metazoa; Chordata; Mammalia; Diprotodontia; Phascolarctidae. The record is from RefSeq and is a predicted model, not a curated record.
CAUGCUGCCUCUCAAAGAAAAAUCACAGUAAAAAAAUUCACUUCUGUUGAAACAGAAGUUGAGGAAACAUGAAUGAUCUGCUCUUGGUGGACAAGAUUUACCAGAUCCUCAUUGUGAAAGUAGGGAGAGAACAGGAUUAGCCACUCACUGCUUGUCAGGUGAGUACAAUAAAAUCCAAGCUCUUUCCUAGCUGGUGUCAGAUACCUCCAUUGCUUUUUAAAGUAGAAGCUCCCAGGGGUAGUAUAGUGGGCCAGGUUGACUGAGGCUAGUCUAGAUCUAGAACACUGGUUUUGAGAGCUGACCAAAAUGAGACACCAGUCUCAUCCAAGUAGUCCAUCCAAGAGUUAACAAAAGGAGGUUUACUUAACCACAACAGGAGAAGGAUAUUCAGCCAAGAUACAGCAUUGGAUUCAGCUGAGCACAGUUUCCCCUUGUGGGAACCAGGAGCUACAUCGGUGACCUGAGUCUUCUGAGUGAAUUGUGUCUUCAAGAUGAUUUUACUGUCUUUUAAGGAAAAGAACUGGAAUAUUCUUCUUAACACAAGUUUUAUGCAAUUUUGGCUCAACUUCACUUCAAAAGGAAUUUUGUGGACUAUGGUUUAAGUAUAUUCCAUGAAUGGAAGAAACUACUAUGGAAGGAACAACCAGAAAACCUUCUGUUGAUAAUGCAGUGGGGAACUUGAGCAUUAGUUCUCUCCACAGCUCCUUUAACCUGGGAGGCUAUUUCUAAGCUCAGCCUCUCAGUUCUAGAAAAGACACUUGCUAACUGUGAGACCCUGG